GAAGCUUCCUUCGGGAAGUGGAUUAGCGGCGGACGGGUGAGUAACACGUGGGUAACCUGCCUCAAAGUGGGGGAUAGCCUUCCGAAAGGAAGAUUAAUACCGCAUAACAUAAGAGAAUCGCAUGAUUUUCUUAUCAAAGAUUUAUUGCUUUGAGAUGGACCCGCGGCGCAUUAGCUAGUUGGUAAGGUAACGGCUUACCAAGGCAACGAUGCGUAGCCGACCUGAGAGGGUGAUCGGCCACAUUGGAACUGAGACACGGUCCAGACUCCUACGGGAGGCAGCAGUGGGGAAUAUUGCGCAAUGGGGGAAACCCUGACGCAGCAACGCCGCGUGGGUGAGAAGGUCUUCGGAUUGUAACCUGUUUUCUGGGACGAUAAUGACGGUACCAGAGGAGGAAGCCACGGCUAACUACGUGCCAGCAGCCGCGGUAAUACGUAGGUGGCGAGCGUUGUCCGGAUUUACUGGGCGUAAAGGGUGCGUAGGCGGAUGUUUAAGUGGGAUGUGAAAUCCCCGGGCUUAACCUGGGGGCUGCAUUCCAAACUGGAUAUCUAGAGUGCAGGAGAGGAAAGCGGAAUUCCUAGUGUAGCGGUGAAAUGCGUAGAGAUUAGGAAGAACACCAGUGGCGAAGGCGGCUUUCUGGACUGUAACUGACGCUGAGGCACGAAAGCGUGGGUAGCAAACAGGAUUAGAUACCCUGGUAGUCCACGCCGUAAACGAUGGAUACUAGGUGUAGGGGGUAUCAACUCCCCCUGUGCCGCAGUUAACACAAUAAGUAUCCCGCCUGGGGAGUACGGUCGCAAGAGUAAAACUCAAAGGAAUUGACGGGGGCCCGCACAAGCAGCGGAGCAUGUGGUUUAAUUCGAAGCAACGCGAAAAACCUUACCUGGACUUGACAUCCCUUGCAUAGCCUAGAGAUAGGUGAAGCCCUUCGGGGCAAGGAGACAGGAGGUGCAUGGGUGUCGUCAGCUCGUGUCGUGAGAUGUUAGGUUAAGUCCUGCAACGAGCGCAACCCUUGUUAUUAGUUGCUACCAUUAAGUUGAGCACUCUAAUGAGACUGCCUGGGUAACCAGGAGGAAGGUGGGGAUGACGUCAAAUCAUCAUGCCCCUUAUGUCCAGGGCUACACACGUGCUACAAUGGUAGGUACAAUAAGACGCAAGACCGUGAGGUGGAGCAAAACUUAUAAAACCUAUCUCAGUUCGGAUUGUAGGCUGCAACUCGCCUACAUGAAGCUGGAGUUGCUAGUAAUCGCGAAUCAGAAUGUCGCGGUGAAUACGUUCCCGGGCCUUGUACACACCGCCCGUCACACCAUGAGAGCUGGUAACACCCGAAGUCCGUGAGGUAACCGUAAGGAGC
RNAcentral lists this ribosomal RNA (1354 nucleotides) under Clostridium botulinum. RNAcentral's name for it is "bacterial SSU rRNA". It matches the Rfam family "Bacterial small subunit ribosomal RNA". The record is from RNAcentral. Lineage: Bacteria; Bacillati; Bacillota; Clostridia; Eubacteriales; Clostridiaceae. RNAcentral also lists the same sequence under 1 other name.